ACCCUUGGGGAAGAAGAGAACGAUGAGGAGGACCUGUUUGAGAGCAGCCGUGCCAGGUUUUGUGGUACGAGUCAGUAUGGAGCUACAGACACCUGGUCUGCCUGAAGGGCAAGGAGAAGGGUGUCUUCCUGUGCAUAAUGAUGACUGACUUCCAGGAGUGCAGGGCAGCGGAGGAGGAUGCUGAUGGGGAGCAGGAGGAUGGCUUGGCAGCAGGGUGUUGGAAAGUAAAGCCAAAGCAGAUCAGCCUGGUCGGCCUGCAGCCAGCACACGUGUGAUAGCAGAACCUUGUGUAGUGUACAGAGCAGAUAACACAUCAGCUUCAACGCCCAUCCACAAACCCUGUCACCAUGGUGCCCACAGAUGGCAACUUCCUGUGGUCCUGCCCAGUGAUUGGUGGAGAGACUUCCAAACAGAGAACAGCUGUGAACAAAAAGGAGAACUUUACAGUUUCAACACCAGAGGGAGCCAUUCAACGACUCUGUGGGCCACAGGACUUCACCGUGGUAUGUCUGACCAUAUUUCAAUAGAUAUUUCAACACAUUAAUGAAUGACGAGAAGAGAAUCACAAAAAACAACAACCUUUAAUACCUGGUGUCACAGUGUUAGUGGAACUGCAGAUAUAUCAAGAUGCUGAGUUGUACAGAACUGAUCCAAAUAUGCCAUUACAGUGUCAAUUUCUUUAUCACCCAGAUUAAUGAACUUUUAUUUACUGAUUAAACUAAAGACAUCGGGUACCAUGUGUAAACACAGGAGUACUGUGUACAGACAGCACUUCCUCUGACAGUAAUCUGCUUACGUAGGCGACUGAUUACAAUUUAAUUGCCCAAUCAGGCCUGAAGAAUGAUGCACUGAAGAUCAUUUUGCUGAACAUCAAACCAUAUUUUCUGAAAGAAAGGGAACAAAAAGGAAAAUUAAAAAGCAGAGUGCUGGGCACCAGGUUUGACAACGCUACCACUGCAAAGAUCUUUGAGGCUACAGUAUAUUAAUUUGUAACAUGUAGAGGUCAGAGAAAAAAAUCAUGCAGCUUCAUCUCUUCACACAACAGGUUAGAAAAUAUAAAUUGCUGCUCAUAACCAAAAUUGAUCUUGGAAUAGUUGCAAAGUAGAACGAGAGCCUUUGUAAAGUAAACUUGGCUUUGCUUCCCAAUUAAGGGCUAAAUCUUGGAAAUGAGCCCUUAACUUGGUCAAACCGCCCUACUCCAACAACACCUGUGCUGGUGUUAAUUGGUUUUAUAUGGAGCCCUGACAAGCCUCUUCUGGCCCUACAAAACAAGUAAUCAUGCCACGUGUCACUGCAGUGAUUGUAAUGUUUGCUGUCUGGCCCUUUUACAAUUGUUGCAUAUAAUACAGUUAUCUACCUGUUCAGUGGAGCCAGCAAACACAGGUAAAGUUAGUUAGUUUGUGCUUGAUAGACUUUGAUGAUGGUGAUUUUUUUUAAAUGUUUAAAAUUAUUUAUUGUUGUGGUGAUAUCAGAACCCAGUUAGAUUAAACUCUGAAAACUCUUUAAAAAGUAUAGAUGCGAUCUUUCAUAUACAGCGACUUGUGUACUGAGUGGCCGAACACCUCCAUUAAACAACUGGCACCAUACUACACCCAUUACAGAUCAUAUCGAGAAGUAAAACAAUGAAACCCAUAUACAGUGCAGUGCUUACAUAAAGAAGCGUGAGACCCUGUAAAAACUGUUAAUAUAUUACAAAUACAUGGCCAAAAUGCACAUACAGUAGACCGCUUGAUUUCCUUCUCCCUUACAGGAAAUCUGCUUGGCACGAUUGUCAUUAAAAACAACAGAAGCUUCAGGAAAUAAACCAAACUUCCAAGCCAGAAAAUUGGACAGUCUUUGAUACAAAACUACCAUGAUCAUACAGUAGGUGAGGUCAGCGAAAGCAACGCAGGAUAUUGUAAGGUACUCAGAAUUUAAGGCUACUAAUGCAGAUGGUUAGCUACUGUUGUUAACUGUUGACCACCCUUUUGGUAACUGUAGCAGCACUUCUUAUGAAAUGCUACAUGAACACUGAUGAGUUAUGACGCAAGGAGGGAUAAAGUAAAUGGCUUAUUCAAAACAUAGCAACGCGUGGUAGUAAAACUGUUUAAUCAGAAAUUAUGACCAAGUGAAUCAUCUCAAUGGUUUAAACUUUUGUUCCCCAUUACUGACUUAACACUGUGAAGUUGUUCAGCUGUAAAAAUAAAUUCUAAUUGCCCAUAAAAACAAAGACCUUAACAAAAUGGCCAAAAUCUCUCCUGGUUUUUCAAUCUAGCAACAUUAUAAUACAGCUAAAAGACAGCGGCACACAUGAUAAAAGUAAAAUGGAUGGUUUCUGAAUAAUUCCCUGAUUAAAUAAAAGCCAUGAUAUGCACAUGUAUUGUGACAUUCUGCAGCUUUAUCCCACCCGUGACAUACAGUUGAUUAAGACCAAUUGAUAGUCUUUUAAUGUGAUGUACAAACUUGCAUAGAUAAGGUGGUAUAGUACAGAGCAGCUUCAUAAUUAUGUGCCCCAAAACGGAACAUUCUUUUAUGUUUUCUCUAUAGGCUUUUAUGAUGUCCCUGCGAGGAAUAGCUGCUUGUUGUUAGAGAUCUAACUACCAACAAAACGCUGACGCUCAGACCACUAACAUAUGCAAGUUUGCAAUUUUGCCCAGCGGGUAUUUGUUUAGUCUCACAGAGUGGGAGAC
Monopterus albus (swamp eel) is the source of this 2669-nucleotide long non-coding RNA. RefSeq lists it as uncharacterized. The transcript is spliced from 5 exons. The record is from RefSeq and is a predicted model, not a curated record. Lineage: Eukaryota; Metazoa; Chordata; Actinopteri; Synbranchiformes; Synbranchidae.